GAUAAAAUUUUAUUAAAAUAUUUUUAACAAAAUAGGGAUCUAGUAAAGUUUAUUGAAUUAGAAGUAACACCUAUAGAUUGGACUGUGAAGGUUAUUUGAAUUAAAAAAAUAAAAAAUUAAUAAAGAAAGUUUUAGGCUUUACCUUUUGUAUUAUGGAGGACUUAAUUAAUAAAGGAUUUUCUUUGUUAACGAAACAAUAUGAGCUAUUUUUUUCCCCAUGUUUGAUGGUAAAGUCUAACUGUAAAAGAAGUAAGGCUAGAGGAAAGAAUAGUAGUGAAAUGCUUAUCGAAUAUUGUGAUAGCUUUUUUCUUGAUAAAUUAGUGUUAGCUAAAUUGGAUCUUUUUCUUUGGAGAACUUAUUGGUUGAUCAGUAAGUUCUUGGAGGGAAAACCUUGUUAUUAGAGGAAAGACAAUAAAUUUAAAUUAUAGGUUUGAGAAGUAGGAUUUGAGCAUUUUUCUAUAAAGAGGGCGUUUGAGCUCCUCAAACAGAUUUUUAUAAAUUUUUGGGAUAAUUCUAUGCUCGUGAUUUAAAUACCAAGAUGUUGAUUUCUGUCAAAUAAUUAUGGUUCUAUGAGUAAAAUUUCUUAGUCUUAUGAAAUAAAGAAAAUCUGGUGAAGUUUGUUGAGAUUACAAAAAGUUGUUCUUAUUUUAGAUGAGAAAUUUAUUAAAAUAUAUGGAAAGGAACUCGGCAAAAUUUCUCUCGCCUGUUUACCUAAAACAUCGCCCCCAGAUAAUAAUUGAGGGGUUUUGCCUGCCCAGUGAUAAUUUUUAUUUAACGGCUGCGGUACUCUGACCGUACAAAGGUAGCAUAAUCAUUUGCCUAUUAAUUGUAGGCUGGAAUCAAUGGCUUGACGAGGAGAAAACUGUCUUUCUUUAUAUUAUUUGAAUUUAGUUUUUUGGUGAAGAAACCAAAAUUUUGAAAUGGGACGAGAAGACCCUAUUGAGCUUUAGUUUUAAUUAUAAUUAAUUAUAAGAAUGAGCUUUGGUUGGGGCAACUAAUCUUAUAUUAAGACAAGGUUAAUAAUAAAAGAUUUAAAUCUAUAAAGUUGACCCAUAAUUUUGUGGAAAAUAGAAAAAGUUACCAUAGGGAUAACAGCGUAAUUUUCUUUGAGAGUACAUAUUGACAAGAAAGUUUGCGACCUCGAUGUUGGAUCAAGAUAUCCUGGAGGUGUAGCCGUUUCCAAAGGUGGGUUUGUUCAACCUAUAAAAUCUUACGCGAUCUGAGUUCAGUCCGUCGUGAGACAGGACAGUUUCUAUCUAUUAUUAUAUUCCUUUUUGUACGAAAGGACUUUAGGAAGAUAAAUAAGGGCUUAAGCUUAUUUAUAAACAAAAAUUAGAAAAAA
This 1342-nucleotide ribosomal RNA is filed under the name Ophioplinthus brevirima. Its description in RNAcentral is "16S ribosomal RNA". It matches the Rfam family "Bacterial large subunit ribosomal RNA". The record is from RNAcentral. Lineage: Eukaryota; Metazoa; Echinodermata; Ophiuroidea; Amphilepidida; Ophiuridae.